Non-coding RNA from Equus caballus (horse), 1198 nucleotides. NCBI's taxonomy places the organism in Eukaryota, Metazoa, Chordata, Mammalia, Perissodactyla, Equidae. The record is from RefSeq and is a predicted model, not a curated record.
GGGGGAUUGGGGGGGUAGGAGGUGCGGGGAGGGCUUGGAGGGGGGCCACCUUCUGCAGUUGUCACCGCGUCAACUCUUGGCAGCUGUCAGAGCACCCCUCCCCCUCUUCCAGGCAACUUCUUCCAACAGCCCCCUCUGAUGGACCCCAACUCUCCUCUCUCACGCCUCGCCCAUACAGCGAGGCACAAAGAAAUCUCAGUCUCUCCAUAAACUUUGUGCUUCCAGUUAUGCCGCCCCCUCCCCUAGCCUACACCCCCACCCUGCCAGCUUCUUGGCAGGAAGGUUAGGCCACUGGCAAAAUCCUCAGCGAGAGCCAGCUGAUCACAAAUGCCAACUGUGUGUCUUGGGGCCAGUUAAGUCCUCUCAUCUGCCCCAGCUCUCAGGAGACCAUUUCAUUGCUCUCAAGGUUCCCAGGAGACCGCUGCGGACACGGACCAUCCUCUACUUGGCCCGCAAGGAUGGGUUGCUGAGCGGAAUCCCAAAAGCGCUCUUUCUCACCUCGAAUUUUCAUUUUUAGAUUGUAAAAAAUCCGAAUUUGGAGACAGGCAGAUAUUUUUCACACAUCAAAAAGCAGGACCAUCAGCUAGGUGAUUAGCCCCAGGUGGGAAAUGAGCCAUCUCUAAUGAGAAUACUGACUUUUUGAAGAAGUCUGUGGAAGUUCUGAAGUCCUACCCCAGCCCCAUGACCUUUCGUUCGUUUAGUUCUUCUGCCACAGGGAAGCAGCCAGCGACUAAUGAAAGAUUUGAUCUUGCAAUAAUUUCCCAAGCAGAUGUGGGUAAGGAGAGUAAUGACAAGGAGGAGGUUCCAAGAGGUCAUAGCCUGGGGCUACAGAGAAGAAAUGACAAGGUAAUUCUUCCCAGAUAGUAGAAAUAAGGCCUAGUACAGCAACUUUUUCCUCCCUACCCUACCUUCACCUCAGGUGUGAGACUUUCACAGCAUCUGUGCAAUGGUAUUUCACAAUUACAUUGACUGCUAUGUAUCUCCUGUUCUUCCCCUUCUCGAUUCAGAAUAUUUAUUGUAGACAUCCUGUGUUUGGAGGUGAGGUGGGGGGGCAGAUAACUUGUCUUUUUGGUUCGCAGAUCUCUUGCCCAUGAGGAGCCACAUAUGAACCUGAAGGACAGGACAGUGAUCCUGGUCCUGAGAUGGAUGCAGUGAAUGGAGGCAUAUCAGAUUACUAUCUUUGGAGAGGAGGUUGAUG